CCAUGAAGCAACAUCAUCGUCUUUGACCUCGGAUCAGGUAGGGAUACCCGCUGAACUUAAGCAUAUCAAUAAGCGGAGGAAA
Molecule: ribosomal RNA, 82 nt
Filed under: Talaromyces pinophilus
Lineage: Eukaryota; Fungi; Ascomycota; Eurotiomycetes; Eurotiales; Trichocomaceae
Description: partial 28S ribosomal RNA
Rfam family: Eukaryotic large subunit ribosomal RNA (bases 24-82)
Source: RNAcentral